This is a non-coding RNA of Cinara cedri, 230 nucleotides long. Lineage: Eukaryota; Metazoa; Arthropoda; Insecta; Hemiptera; Aphididae. The record is from the annotation of a GenBank genome assembly.
AAUACGAUAUCGCCGCAUCCAUUGCGGUAUAUUACGCUAUGAUAAUAAUACAAUAAUAAUAACGUGUACUUACCUCCGGAACGUACGUACGUAUAAUGAUAAUGCGAACGGCGGCGUCGUCGAGAGAUCUCCAAAACGGUGAAACGGAUGUGGUACGGGCCGUCGAAAACAAUCGUCGUGGGCGUCGAUCCUCCGCCGCCGAUGAUGCUGCGUGCACAGAGAUAAUCCGA